RNAcentral lists this ribosomal RNA (850 nucleotides) under uncultured bacterium. RNAcentral's name for it is "bacterial SSU rRNA". It matches the Rfam family "Bacterial small subunit ribosomal RNA", at positions 49 to 881 of the family's 1533-position model. The record is from RNAcentral.
CUCUAUCUGCAGUCGAGCGGACAGAAGGGAGCUUGCUCCCGGAUGUUAGCGGCGGACGGGUGAGUAACACGUGGGUAACCUGCCUGUAAGACUGGGAUAACUCCGGGAAACCGGAGCUAAUACCGGAUAGUUCCUUGAACCGCAUGGUUCAAGGAUGAAAGACGGUUUCGGCUGUCACUUACAGAUGGACCCGCGGCGCAUUAGCUAGUUGGUGAGGUAACGGCUCACCAAGGCGACGAUGCGUAGCCGACCUGAGAGGGUGAUCGGCCACACUGGGACUGAGACACGGCCCAGACUCCUACGGGAGGCAGCAGUAGGGAAUCUUCCGCAAUGGACGAAAGUCUGACGGAGCAACGCCGCGUGAGUGAUGAAGGUUUUCGGAUCGUAAAGCUCUGUUGUUAGGGAAGAACAAGUGCAAGAGUAACUGCUUGCACCUUGACGGUACCUAACCAGAAAGCCACGGCUAACUACGUGCCAGCAGCCGCGGUAAUACGUAGGUGGCAAGCGUUGUCCGGAAUUAUUGGGCGUAAAGGGCUCGCAGGCGGUUUCUUAAGUCUGAUGUGAAAGCCCCCGGCUCAACCGGGGAGGGUCAUUGGAAACUGGGAAACUUGAGUGCAGAAGAGGAGAGUGGAAUUCCACGUGUAGCGGUGAAAUGCGUAGAGAUGUGGAGGAACACCAGUGGCGAAGGCGACUCUCUGGUCUGUAACUGACGCUGAAGAGCGAAAGCGUGGGGAGCGAACAGGAUUAAAUACCCUGGUAGUCCACGCCGUAAACGAUGAGUGCUAAGUGUUAGGGGGUUUCCGCCCCUUAGUGCUGCAGCUAACGCAUUAAGCACUCCGCCUGGGGGAGU